CGCUGGCGGCAGGCCUAACACAUGCAAGUCGAACGCUCGUAGCAAUACGGGAGUGGCAGACGGGUGCGUAACGCGUGGGAACAUACCCUUUGGUUCGGAAUAACUCAGGGAAACUUGAGCUAAUACCGGAUACGCCCGAGAGGGGAAAGAUUUAUUGCCGAAGGAUUGGCCCGCGUCUGAUUAGCUAGUUGGUAGGGUAACGGCCUACCAAGGCGACGAUCAGUAGCUGGUCUGAGAGGAUGAUCAGCCACACUGGGACUGAGACACGGCCCAGACUCCUACGGGAGGCAGCAGUGGGGAAUAUUGGACAAUGGGCGCAAGCCUGAUCCAGCCAUGCCGCGUGAGUGAUGACGGCCUUAGGGUUGUAAAGCUCUUUUACCUGGGAAGAUAAUGACGGUACCAGGAGAAUAAGCCCCGGCUAACUUCGUG
Molecule: ribosomal RNA, 429 nt
Filed under: uncultured bacterium
Lineage: Bacteria
Description: bacterial SSU rRNA
Rfam family: Bacterial small subunit ribosomal RNA
Source: RNAcentral